Molecule: ribosomal RNA, 212 nt
Filed under: uncultured bacterium
Lineage: Bacteria
Description: partial 16S ribosomal RNA
Rfam family: Bacterial small subunit ribosomal RNA
Source: RNAcentral
UAAGACGAACCGUGCGAACGUUAUUCGGAAUCACUGGGCUUAAAGCGCGUGUAGGCGGAUGGGGACGUCGGUUGCUGAAAUCCCCCGGCUCAACCGGGGAACGGGCACCGAAACGCCCCGUCUGGAGGGACGUAGGGGGACCUGGAACUUCCGGUGGAGCGGUGAAAUGCGUUGAGAUCGGAAGGAACGCCCGUGGCGAAAGCGAGGUCCUG